Molecule: non-coding RNA, 94 nt
Organism: Mycena filopes
Lineage: Eukaryota; Fungi; Basidiomycota; Agaricomycetes; Agaricales; Mycenaceae
Source: the annotation of a GenBank genome assembly
UCGGACGUGGUGCAUGGCGCACGCCCGCGAAUAAUUGCUGUGUUCCACUGUAACUCUUGCGGCGGGUGAACGGGUUCGAUUCCCGGCGUCCGAA